RNAcentral lists this ribosomal RNA (221 nucleotides) under Acinetobacter sp. ACNIH3. RNAcentral describes it as "partial 16S ribosomal RNA". It matches the Rfam family "Bacterial small subunit ribosomal RNA", at positions 1 to 223 of the family's 1533-position model. The record is from RNAcentral. Lineage: Bacteria; Pseudomonadati; Pseudomonadota; Gammaproteobacteria; Moraxellales; Moraxellaceae.
UAAACUGAAGAGUUUGAUCAUGGCUCAGAUUGAACGCUGGCGGCAGGCUUAACACAUGCAAGUCGAGCGGGGAAAGGUAGCUUGCUACUGGACCUAGCGGCGGACGGGUGAGUAAUGCUUAGGAAUCUGCCUAUUAGUGGGGGACAACGUUCCGAAAGGAACGCUAAUACCGCAUACGUCCUACGGGAGAAAGCAGGGGACCUUCGGGCCUUGCGCUAAUA